Molecule: long non-coding RNA, 394 nt
Filed under: Fukomys damarensis (Damara mole-rat)
Lineage: Eukaryota; Metazoa; Chordata; Mammalia; Rodentia; Bathyergidae
Description: lncRNA (ENSFDAG00000032808.1)
Source: RNAcentral
GCUGCUUCCGCUUGCAGUGGGUUUGUCUUCCGUUUCCCGGGACUGGAAAUUAACUCAGGUACUUCAGACUCAGGAGUGAGAAGUGGUGAUUUAAAAAGGGAGAAAUGUGAAACUCAAUUUUACCCUUGGUUGAGAAGGUACUAAUUUGCCUGACAAGUUGGAAACGGAAGGUACUCAAGGUAGAAGAAACGCAUCCUGCAGUCGUGAGGUACACCAGGCAGCUCUGCUCCAUGAAGUGCCAAGGAAAAGCCACUGUAGUCAGUAACGUCUUUGGAGGGAUCUGCCUGCAGCUCAUUUUCCAUAAGAAAAAAUUAUGAAAUAAAUUGAAAUAUUUGCAAUGACAUUUUCUUGUUAUUUUUGGAGAAGCACAGCACACAUAUGUGUAUAUGUGUAC